GACGUAGGACGCAGGCGUUAUCCGGAGUAACUGGGCGUAAAGGGCGUGCAGGCGGCUGCUCGAGUGGCUCGUGAAAGCCCCCGGCUCAACCGGGGGAGGUCGGGUCAGACUGAGGAGCUAGAGACAGUCAGAGGGACACGGAAUUCCGGGUGUAGUGGUGAAAUGCGUAGAGAUCCGGAGGAACACCAGUGGCGCAGGCGGUGUCCUGGGGCUGAACUGACGCUGAGACGCGAAAGCAUGGGGAGCGAACGGG
This 253-nucleotide ribosomal RNA is filed under the name uncultured bacterium. RNAcentral's name for it is "partial 16S ribosomal RNA". It matches the Rfam family "Bacterial small subunit ribosomal RNA", at positions 524 to 776 of the family's 1533-position model. The record is from RNAcentral.